UUUGUUUUUUUUGCAGGAAAAAUACAAUUUUGAGACAUGGACAUAGUCUUUUAUGAUAAAACUUUGGCCAUUCUUUCCUAUACCAGCAUUCUUCUAAAAUAAGAUAACAAAUGUAUUUCAGCACAAAUGUAAUGAAAAUUUUCACAAUAUCGGUGGUGAUGCUUACGAUGACUUAUUGGUUAGGGUAGUAUGCUAAAAAGGGCCCAUCAGAUUUACAAAACAUAUGGUCUCAUUUUUGUGAGGUUUUCUGAUAUAUUUUCGAUAAUAUUGUGCCUUAAUAUGCAAUAGCUAUAGUCAAGAGUUCCAAGAAAUGGUACACUAACAUUGUAUUUCCAGCUUCUCGCAAAAAUACAUUGUAUUUCUUGCUACUCCAUCCAAGAAUAAUCACUUAUAGACUAGUUGCUUAAUCUAAGAAAAAUAGACAAUCGAAUGGUCGUGAGAUUUUUUAUUGAGUAACAAGGAACUAAAAUAUACGAGGACUUCACUUCUUUUAUGUGGGUGUGGAACUUCCAAGCCUUUUCUCUCUUACAAAUAAGAACUUGAGCGGCUCAUUUUAGUAAAGAAUUAUAUCCAAAAAGAUGUAGAUCUAUUUGUAUUUUUUAUUCUAGUUAAUAAAUUGUUGUAUUUUCAUUGUUUGUAUACUGCAUAGAUCGGUUAAUAACAUGGUGUGUGUUUUCUCUGCCACAUCAUAGUUUUUCUCACACGUCAUGCCACGUCAAAGUACAUGCACUAUUUGUGAUUACAAAUCAAAUCCACGAAUAUAUCGAUCGAGAAACACUACCGAGGAUCACAAGCAAUGACUAAGAUAACAACAAGGCUAUGAAACCACCAGACAUAUGAACAAAAGAUUGAGUUGAAAUUUAAGAACCACAAAAUGAUUCUCUUUAUUAGUAAAGCAAAUGUUGAGCAACGGGAGCUCACAUAUGCAUAUAUGCAUGCCACACAUCCACGGACGGAGCAUGCUUAUUCAUUCAUGGGCGACGGAUCUAUCUAUCUUUAUAUGUCCAAACCGAGGCAGUAUGGGGCGUUGUGAACGGUCAUCACGUUGCAGUGCCCCGGCGUAACGAGCACCUUGGCGAAGUCCCUCUGGGGCUCCCUGGGGCAUCCGGGGAGGUCCUUGAGCACGCUGGAAUUGGGAUCAGACCUCCGCCCUAUGAAGUAGCGCACUGCCUCGCACCGGCAAUGCUGCGAGGCGUCGUAAAGCUCCUUGCAGCACCGAUCCCUUGGGGUGUUCCCCGGCUCGGUGGACACCGCCGACCCGGAUAUGCUGAUGCCACAGGUUUGCUG
This 1287-nucleotide long non-coding RNA is filed under the name Triticum aestivum (bread wheat). Its description in RNAcentral is "long non-coding RNA (TAES_LNC017639)". Lineage: Eukaryota; Viridiplantae; Streptophyta; Magnoliopsida; Poales; Poaceae. The record is from RNAcentral.